GCGUCUUCGAGCCAUGGCGGAGACGCGGCGUACGGCUCAGUAACACGUGGCUAACCUAACCUCGGGACGGGGACAACCCCGGGAAACUGGGGCUAAUCCUCGAUGGGCGAGGAGGCCUGGAACGGUUCCUCGCCGAAAGGGCGUCCGAACCAUGCUUUUAGACGCUGCCCGAGGGUGGGGCCGCGGCCGAUCAGGUUGUUGGUGAGGUAACGGCUCACCAAGCCUAUAACCGGUACGGGCCGUGAGAGCGGGAGCCCGGAGAUGGGAACUGAGACAAGGUCCCAGGCCCUACGGGGCGCAGCAGGCGCGAAAACUCCGCAAUGCACGAAAGUGUGACGGGGCUAUCCCGAGUGCUGUCCGCUGAGGACGGCUUUUCCAUGGUGUAAGGAGCCAUGGGAAUAAGGAGAGGGCAAGUCUGGUGUCAGCCGCCGCGGUAAUACCAGCUCUCCGAGUGGUAGGGAUGAUUAUUGGGCUUAAAAGCGUCCGUAGCCGGCCUAGCAAGUCUCUCGUUAAAUCCAGCGAUUCAAUCGUUGGAUUGCGGGGGAUACUGUCUGGCUAGGGGGCGAGAGAGGCCGACGGUAUUUUCGGGGUAGGGGUGAAAUCCUAUAAUCCCGGAAGGACCACCAGUGGCGAAGGCUGUCGGCUAGAACGCGCCCGACGGUGAGGGAUGAAAGCUGGGGGAGCGAACCGGAUUAGAUACCCGGGUAGUCCCAGCCGUAAACAAUGCAGGCUAGGUGUUAGGGCGGCCACGUGCCGCUCUAGUGCCGCAGGGAAGCUGUUAAGCCUGCCGCCUGGGGAGUACGGCCGCAAGGCUGAAACUUAAAGGAAUUGGCGGGGGAGCACCACAAGGGGUGAAGCUUGCGGUUUAAUUGGAGUCAACGCCGGAAAUCUCACCGGGGGCGACAGCAGAAUGAAAGCCAGAUUAAAGGUCUUGCCAGACGAGCUGAGAGGAGGUGCAUGGCCGUCGCCAGUUCGUGCCGUGAGGUGUCCUGUUAAGUCAGGCAACGAUCGAGACCCGCGUCCCCCGUUGCUAGUGCGCGAAUAGCCAAGCACACUGGGGAGACU
This 1065-nucleotide ribosomal RNA is filed under the name uncultured crenarchaeote. Its description in RNAcentral is "bacterial SSU rRNA". It matches the Rfam family "Archaeal small subunit ribosomal RNA", at positions 55 to 1106 of the family's 1478-position model. The record is from RNAcentral. Lineage: Archaea; Thermoproteati; Thermoproteota.